UGGGGGAUAUUGCACAAUGGGCGAAAGCCUGAUGCAGCGACGCCGCGUGGGGGAUGAAGGCCUUCGGGUUGUAAACUUCUUUUGCUCUGAACAAGGCAUGCUAAUGGGUGUGUUGAGUGUAGGGGUUGAUUAGCGCUGGCUAACUACGUGCCAGCAGCCGCGGUAAUACGUAGGGCGCGAGCGUUGUCCGGAAUUAUUGGGCGUAAAGGGCUUGUAGGUGGCUGGUUGCGUCUGUCGUGAAAGCUCAUGGCUUAACUGUGGGUUUGCGGUGGGUACGGGCUGGCUUGAGUGCAGUAGGGGAGGCUGGAAUUCCUGGUGUAGCGGUGGAAUGCGCAGAUAUCAGGAGGAAUACCGGUGGCGAAGGCGGGUCUCUGGGCUGUUACUGACACUGAGGAGCGAAAGCAUGGGGAGCGAACAGG
This 419-nucleotide ribosomal RNA is filed under the name bacterium. RNAcentral describes it as "partial 16S ribosomal RNA". It matches the Rfam family "Bacterial small subunit ribosomal RNA", at positions 355 to 776 of the family's 1533-position model. The record is from RNAcentral.